AGUGAACGCUGGCGGUAGGCCUAACACAUGCAAGUCGAACGGCAGCACAGUAAGAGCUUGCUCUUACGGGUGGCGAGUGGCGGACGGGUGAGGAAUACAUCGGAAUCUACUUUUUCGUGGGGGAUAACGUAGGGAAACUUACGCUAAUACCGCAUACGACCUACGGUUGAAAGCAGGGGAUCUUCGGACCUUGCGCGAUUGAAUGAGCCGAUGUCGGAUUAGCUAGUUGGCGGGGUAAAGGCCCACCAAGGCGACGAUCCGUAGCUGGUCUGAGAGGAUGAUCAGCCACACUGGAACUGAGACACGGUCCAGACUCCUACGGGAGGCAGCAGUGGGGAAUAUUGGACAAUGGGCGCAAGCCUGAUCCAGCUAUACCGCGUGGGUGAAGAAGGCCUUCGGGUUGUAAAGCCCUUUUGUUGGGAAAGAAAAGCGGCAGGUUAAUACCCCGCUGUUCUGACGGUACCCAAAGAAUAAGCACCGGCUAACUUCGUG
This 492-nucleotide ribosomal RNA is filed under the name uncultured bacterium. Its description in RNAcentral is "partial 16S ribosomal RNA". It matches the Rfam family "Bacterial small subunit ribosomal RNA", at positions 29 to 507 of the family's 1533-position model. The record is from RNAcentral.